Molecule: long non-coding RNA, 915 nt
Organism: Onychostruthus taczanowskii (white-rumped snowfinch)
Lineage: Eukaryota; Metazoa; Chordata; Aves; Passeriformes; Passeridae
Exons: 2
Source: RefSeq, a predicted model, not a curated record
AGACAGAAAAGCAGAUCUAAGCUGGAACUAGCAGCAAGAGAAGUAGUUUUGUUGGAGCCGUGGCUGAAAGCUGAAACAUUAGAGACUCCUCAGAACCUUUGACAGCAGUACGUGAACUCAUAGGAACCUGCAGGACCUGGAUAACACUUUGGACUGGAUAACAGCAAUUUAUAACCUGAAUUACUUACCCAUGCUAAUGAAGAUGGAAAUGAGCUUUCACAUCCAACUCUUACAGGGUUCUACUGUAUGUUCUUUAAAAUGGAUUUUCAUUUUAUCACCGAUGGCAGGAAAUUACCCAGCUCAUAACUAGGAUGGAAUAAACCUACCUAAUCCAGGAUACUGGAUAUCCUGGGUGAGACUGGACUGGAUAAUAAUGCAUCAAAAAGACUGCUACAGGAUUUCCUCAAGCAGAUUUAAAGGUUCUUUCAAAACCUUCCACUAUGGACAGUACCUUUUCCAUUCUUGCCCCAAGUCUGCUUUUACAGCACAGCAACUGGUGUCUUACUGGUCUUCCAAAAAUCAAAUAAAUGCUUCACACCUUUGCUUCAGCUUCAUGCAUCUCUACCCAUUUCUUGCCUCUUGCUAAAACAAAUAAUUUGUGUUGUUAUGAAAGUGCUCCUGCUCUAAUUAUGCAUGCAUGCUGAUGAUCAUCUGUGAUAAGAUACUGUACAACUUUACAGUGCCACACACUAAACACAGCAGCAUGCAGGAGCUCACAUGAUGGUCAUUUAAUAUCCAUGACUCACAGUCCACAGGACUAGGAUUCCAGCCAGCUGGGAUUUGUUCUAAGUGGCGUGAAAUGACAAACAGUGCAUGAUAUACAGCUCAGAUACCAAACAUGGUGGCCAAGCUUUUACAGAAACAUGGCUCCUUGCCCUCUCCAUUAAAAAAAAAAAAAAAAAAAAAAAAAAAAAA